This 498-nucleotide ribosomal RNA is filed under the name uncultured bacterium. RNAcentral describes it as "partial 16S ribosomal RNA". It matches the Rfam family "Bacterial small subunit ribosomal RNA", at positions 28 to 507 of the family's 1533-position model. The record is from RNAcentral.
GACGAACGCUGGCGGCGUGCCUAAUACAUGCAAGUCGAACGAGAGCGACCGGUGCUUGCACUGGUCAAUCUAGUGGCGAACGGGUGAGUAACACGUGGGUAACCUGCCCAUCAGAGGGGGAUAACAUUCGGAAACGGAUGCUAAAACCGCAUAGGUCUUCGAACCGCAGGGUUUGUAGAGGAAAAGAGGCGCAAGCUACUGCUGAUGGAUGGACCCGCGGUGCCUUAGCUAGUUGGUGGGGGAACGGCCUACCAAGGCCGUGAUGGAGAGCCGGCCCGAGAGGGGGAUUCGGCCCACUGGAACUUGGACCCGGUCCAGACCCCCACGGGAGGCAGCAGUUGGGAAUAUUUCCGAAUGGGCGAAAGCCUGACCGAGCCAAGCCGCGUGGGUUAAGAAGGUUUUCGGAUUGUAAAACACUUUUUGUUGGGAAGAAGUAAGGUCUGGGAAAACCGUGAGGGCUUGACGGUACCUAACCAGAAAGCCACGGCUAACUACGUG